AUGGAUGCCCAUUAUAAGACCCAU
This 24-nucleotide non-coding RNA is filed under the name Arabidopsis thaliana (thale cress). The record is from RNAcentral. Lineage: Eukaryota; Viridiplantae; Streptophyta; Magnoliopsida; Brassicales; Brassicaceae.